Molecule: non-coding RNA, 4445 nt
Organism: Podarcis lilfordi (Lilford's wall lizard)
Lineage: Eukaryota; Metazoa; Chordata; Lepidosauria; Squamata; Lacertidae
Source: the annotation of a GenBank genome assembly
AGGGAUUUUAUCGUCCCACCAAACACACACAAAAAUUCAUGUGAAGCAAUGCAUAAAUUGUUUAUUUAGUCGAAUUUACAUUGUGAUGCGGCAUCUGUGGGAGCGACACACACCGCACUUGACAGAUGGAGGGAGCGUGGGGGAAGGGCGAGUGAUGACCCUGCGCGCACGCGCAAUAACCGCACCAACCCCCUCCCCCCACCCCAUCAGCAGCUUCGGCCGCUUUCCCUCCCUUCGCGUAUUUUCUACAGCUCUGCAAGAAGCGUGAGAGGGCGGGGGGGACGAUGAGGUGUUUCGCCAUCGAAGGGGCCGGGCGAAGGGUACAGAGAAAACCGUUGCAAAGAAGCAAGGAGAGAACGAGGGGCAGGGGGGCGGCGCGGGAGCAACCCUAAACCCGCCAAUCAAGAAGAAGAGGCAGCUGAGGGACUCGCGUCUCAGCCAGUUAUAGUUCGUGGAGGGUGGUGAGGAGGCGGGAGUAGCAGCUGUCGGAGAGCAGAUGACAACAGGGCGGCGGCGAGCAAACGAAGCAAUAGGGUUCCCACAGCCCCGUGACAGGCGAAUGCCAAAGCAGAGCGACCAAUGGGCGUGAGGAGGAAGGAAGGCCAAUAGAAAAGCGGCUUGCCCGCAUGCGCAGCUGGAUGGAGGGGAGGCGGGUGGAGAGCUGCGUCGUGCGCGGGCCCCGCCUCCCUCCCUUCUCCCCCCUCCCCCUGCCGCAGAGCCGUUGCUGAGGGAGCGGAGGGCGGCCAUUUUGUGAUGCUGGGUAGGGGCGCGGGUGGGGGAGGGGGAGGAGAGGAAGGCUUCGCUGAGAGGCAAUGAAGACGGGCACAGACUUCACUUCCCUCGCUCCCUCACACACACGCACAUACGGCACAAGAUGGCCGGGGAGACAGGAGCCUCCGCUGGUCGCUGCUGCCGUUUCCCUCCCUGUCCCAGCCGCCUGUUCCUCCGGCCACCCCCCUGGCCCGAGGCGGCCGCUCACUUGAGGAGUGGGGAGGCUCUCCGGCUGGGCCCAGGCUCCUGAAAUGGAGGGUGGCCUGUCCGACCCCCAACUCCUCAGAAAAACAACCGCAAAGAGAGGCGCCUAUGCGGCAGGGCUGGCUCGGCUCGUCCUCGGGGCGGCGGCGGCGAGAGCGGCUGCGGCUGCGCCCGGCGAGCCCCUUUUGGUAUGCCCGCCUCGUCUCUCCGGCUUUGGGUGGUAAGUAUCGUCCGCCCUUUCAGCCCUCCAUGUCCUCCUUCUCCGCCAUUGUCUCUUUGUCCUUGAGAAAGGAGAGCCGCCUGGGAGAGGCAGGUGGUGGUUUGUCGGGAAAGAACCGCCGGCCAUCACUUUUAGCCGUCCCUCGACGCCUUUUUUCACUCGGGGCAAAGGCGGAUUUAGGGUCCUCUCCUUCCAGUUGGGGGUCCUGUUUCCCCACCUCCCAAUUAAAAUCGGUGUGGGGGGGAAAAGGUGCUGAGUGUUAAGGCUUCCUGGGACAGGACAUGAGAACCUAGGCAGGAAAGACACAAUUCACUCCUUCGCCUGGGCUUUUUUAUGAUUAUGGGAAGGAAAAGGGCAAGACCUAAGCCCCCUUCCUAAUUUUCCCCAUUUCGGGGCACCUUGGCAGCUGGAGUUGGGCGAGGGGGGUGCCACGUAAAAAGAGCGGCAGAGGAAGGAAAAAGACCCGGUUCCUCGCCCUUUACCUGUCAAGUCUUGGGUAUGUAUUAAAACUCACACUUUGAUGUGUGGCUUCUUAAUCGGAAUUAGGGGUGCCCAUGAGGGGCUUCUGGGAGCAAGGGCAAAACCUGAUAAUCAAGGCUGGGUUGGAAAGAAGCCAUCACCCUGGUUUCUUUCUCGCUUUAUUUACUGAGCAUGUUCUUGUUUGUAAUUUAAAGGGGUGUUAAAGUACCCCUUCUCCAUUUUGAAGGAGUUCCUAAAUUGAAUUAGGGGUUCUGUCUCUAUAGACUCCCGAUCUAGGCGCAGAACCUGGUCUUCAAGGAUGUUGGUGUCAAACCAGAGCCGCCAUUUGAGCCAGAGUUUUUCUUCUCUCUUCUCUGUUGCCUCCCCCCAUCUUAUGCACCAUUUCUUUUUUUUGCGGGGGGUGGUGGUAAUUAAUCCGCAACAUUAAGGACUUGAUGCACUUCCCCCUUAAUAUUGAUUGAAAAAGGUCUGUGUGGGGUUUUUUUUUGCAAACUAUUUUCUUGCUAUAAUUAAUCCUGAAGGGCAGAUAUUUUGUAAUGCAGCUUGUUGUUGCCCCAAUGCAGCAUUUGUGUAGGGCAUCAUAGGGUGGGGGUCUGCAGCAAAUGUAGACUGCACCCCUUUACAGUAUUUGGAGGAGGGAAAUCAAAGGUGCCUUAUAUGUCUUCUGCAAACUCCUAAGUACUUUGAAAGGGAGCUGUUGUUCACCAUUGCUUCUGAAAAGGGGAAACAAUCCAUUUCUAUUUUGGUAAGAACAAAAGACGCCAUGUCUGUUCUUUCUCUCAAAUAUAAAACUUGUUUUUCUGUAUGUAGGGUGUUGGCUUUUAACUCUUUCUAAACUACCAGUAGAAAAACAGGCUGUGGAAAAAACUACUUUGAAAUGAUAUGUUGAAAAUAUAUAUACACAGACAAUUUAUUUGUGCGUGUGUUUUAACCUGAAAGUGCCAGUGAUGCCUUUUUAUGCUUUGGGCUUAAGAUGAAAUAUUUAGUGAGCUUAUUUAAAUGCAUAAGGAUUUUUGAUAUGUGCCAAUUGUACAGUUGAGUGAACUUCUAAAUUAGAACUGGAAAACAUAAGUGGAAAGUGCAGCUUAGUAAAAUGGGAUGCAGUAGGAUAAAAAUAAGAAAUUAGGAGUUUAAAAGUCAUAGAGGGGAUUUUUUAUUUUAAGUAUGUCAAUAUGUCUCAGAAGCAUCUAAUUUUCUGUUGUUCUUAAUGGAGUAAAUUUAAUUUUAAAAUCUAUUUCCUUUUACCUGAAUUAAUAGUAAAUGCUUAAAAUGGAAUAUUGAGCAAUUGAUUUUCCUUGGUUUCCUGGAGUCUUUUAAUACUUGGAUGCUAUGCCUUAAAAUUUGGGGUUUCUGUUUGUAGAAGAACUGCAAUUAUAUUUUGUUCAGGUGUUGUGUUAACUUCCUUGUCCUUGUUCUAGAAUCUUCCUGUUCAGGCUUACCAUUUAGGUGGCUUGGACACUGUGUGACAUAAGAAAUUUAUCAGAGAUAAAGUUCUACCAAUGAAAUGAGUAGUUGGUAUAUCUUUAGCAUGUUAGCAAAUUUAUUUUAUAUUUUUGAAGCUUAUUAGUUUAAACUGAUGAUAGAACCACUAUUUGCCAUGCAGAUAACUCAGUUUUAUUUUUUAGGUAUGUAUAUAUAUUAAAGAAUCAGUAUCAGUGGUUAAUUUAAUGUAUCUUCUGAAAUUGUGAUCUUCUAAAAAAGAGGAAAUUUAUAGUGUGCUGUUAUGAAUAAAGUUAAGUGUGACCAAGUUACAUAAAGACUUCUACAUCAAUGCAAGAAAACAGAUGAAUUCAAGUGCAAACAUGAGGGUUGUAGAAUUUAGAUACUUCACGGAACUAAUAAAGAUGAAAACUUCACAGAGACUCAGAAACAACACUUAGAAGAUGAUCAGUUUAGGUUGUCUGCUUUGGAGUUUCAAAGUGGUGGUAAAAUAUUAAGUGUGUUGCUGUUUGAUGUAACUACUCAGAAUUUUGAGAUUAAAUACUGUAUAAAGGGUAAACACUUUUGAGAGUAAAUGCAAAGGGUAAGCACUUUUGACUAAUACUUUUACCUUCAGAUAUACUCACACUAGCUUGAACAGUGGUUUAGGGAUAAACAUCCAUAACGAUGCUGUUACUAUUUUGUAUAUGAAAGUGCAAAUUGAACAAAAAGCCUGUUAUGCCUUUAUUAGUUAUGUUAUGCUAAGUUAGAAAAUUGCUUAGCUUUAGAAAUGCAGCUAGCACAGACAACCCUUCCAAAACAUAAUAUGCCGCUACGACAAAUAUGAAACACUUUUAGAUAAACCUAAACAUGCUUUUCCUUGUUUAGGUAUUCGUGAAUGUUUACUACUUCUGUAACAACUGUGUUUCAGAUGACCUGUACAGACUUACUGUUUGUUAAGGUAAGAAUGGUUUUGAACUUCAUUUUUUGUCCUGUACACUGUUUUCAGUAUGCUGAUUAGUUGUAUAUAAUUUCCCCUAAUAAGAAUGAAAUAAUGAAUUCUGUUAAAAUUGAAUGCAGUGUGGUUGUUUCUAUUUAUCUUAAUUUUUAAUUGAAUAAAGAAUAAAUCUAAGAUUUCUGACUAAUAAAACGAUUAGUGAGAAUACCUAAUUGGAAAUAUUUUCAAUUGAAAAUCAACAGGACUUUUUCUAAGUAAGUGGCUUAUGGUCGCCAUCGAAGGUAGCAAUAGGAUAUGCUUCAGGAAGCCAGUGAUAAAUAAGUAGCAUUUACUUCUAAAUUUAGAUAUAUUUAGAAUUAGAUUGCAACUUUAGGAAGUGAAUACGCAGUGGGC